This 253-nucleotide ribosomal RNA is filed under the name uncultured bacterium. RNAcentral describes it as "partial 16S ribosomal RNA". It matches the Rfam family "Bacterial small subunit ribosomal RNA", at positions 524 to 776 of the family's 1533-position model. The record is from RNAcentral.
UACGAAGGGGGCUAGCGUUGUUCGGAAUUACUGGGCGUAAAGGGCGCGUAGGCGGCAAUUCAAGUCAUCUGUGAAAUCUCCGGGCUUAACUCGGAACGGUCAGAUGAUACUGCUUUGCUAGAGUGCGGAAGGGGCAAUCGGAAUUCUUGGUGUAGCGGUGAAAUGCGUAGAUAUCAAGAGGAACACCUGAGGUGAAGACGGGUUGCUGGGCCGACACUGACGCUGAAGCGCGAAAGCCAGGGGAGCAAACGGG